ACUACAGCAGCUACUAUGGGGGCCUGGGCUAUGGCUAUGGCUCUGGUUAUGGCUGUGGAUGUGGCAGCUACCGUGGCCUAGGCUAUGGCUAUGGCAGCUGUGGCUGUAGAGGCCUGGGCUAUGGUGGCUAUGGCUAUGGAGGCCUGGGCUAUGGUGGCUAUGGCUAUGGCUGCUGCCGCCCAUCUUGCUGUGGAAGUUAUUCUUCCUACGGCUUUUACUGAAAAACCACCUGUUCCUGCAGUGUCCUGGAAUCCUUGUGCAACCCUGCUUGGUGUAAUUCCAUGGCAUUUCAAGACAUCACCUUCCACCUGCUUCUACACCUGGGUGAUAUAAGAGAGACACCACAAGAAGUCUCACCAUUCCUAAGAAACAGAGCAAGCAGUGAAUGCCAGGAAAUACAGAAGCACCAGGAUCCUUCCCUCUGAAAA
This 428-nucleotide long non-coding RNA is filed under the name Sarcophilus harrisii (Tasmanian devil). RNAcentral describes it as "lncRNA (ENSSHAG00000024294.1)". The record is from RNAcentral. Lineage: Eukaryota; Metazoa; Chordata; Mammalia; Dasyuromorphia; Dasyuridae.